Molecule: ribosomal RNA, 340 nt
Filed under: Cyrtogenius cf. chirindaensis scd23
Lineage: Eukaryota; Metazoa; Arthropoda; Insecta; Coleoptera; Curculionidae
Description: partial 12S small subunit ribosomal RNA
Source: RNAcentral
AUUAGAGUUUUAAAUCCAGAUUAGUAAUAGUUAGGUUCUUGAAAAUUAAAAAAGUUGGCGGUAUUUUAGUCCAUUCAGAGGAACCUGUCCUGUAAUUGAUAUUCCACGAUUUUAAGUAUCUUUAUUUUUAGUUUGUAUAUCGCCGUAGAUUGAAUAUUUUUAUCGAGUUUUAAUAUUCAUAAUAUUUAAGGAUAGGAAUUCAGGUCAAGAUGUAGCUUAUGUAAGGAAAGAGAUGGGUUACAGAAAUAGAAUUUUUGAAUAUAUCUUUGUUAAAGGGUUGGAAAGAGGAUUUGAGAGUAAUUUUAAAGUAAGAUUUUUACAAUGAUUUUGGCUCUAGAAU